RNAcentral lists this small nucleolar RNA (74 nucleotides) under Physeter macrocephalus (sperm whale). RNAcentral's name for it is "Physeter catodon (sperm whale) Small nucleolar RNA U3 (ENSPCTG00005005529.1)". It matches the Rfam family "Small nucleolar RNA U3", at positions 1 to 71 of the family's 219-position model. From Rfam's summary of the family: Small nucleolar RNAs (snoRNAs) are involved in the processing and modification of rRNA in the nucleolus. Lineage: Eukaryota; Metazoa; Chordata; Mammalia; Artiodactyla; Physeteridae. The record is from Rfam by way of RNAcentral.
AAGACUAUACUUUCAGGGAUCAUUUCUAUAGUUUGUUACUAGAGAAGUUUCGAAAACCAUAACUCAAAAACAGU